UUUACGAUAAAUUUAAAACUG
Molecule: non-coding RNA, 21 nt
Organism: Caenorhabditis elegans
Lineage: Eukaryota; Metazoa; Nematoda; Chromadorea; Rhabditida; Rhabditidae
Source: Ensembl